GACCUUGUCGAAGACGGGUUCGCCGGGCUUGAUGAGCCCCGUGGCCAGCGCCUUGGUGUCGAGGGCGCGCGGGUCGGUGUCCGCGUGGAGGUCG
RNAcentral lists this transfer RNA (94 nucleotides) under Streptomyces glebosus. Its description in RNAcentral is "tRNA-Ile". The record is from RNAcentral. Lineage: Bacteria; Bacillati; Actinomycetota; Actinomycetes; Kitasatosporales; Streptomycetaceae.